Molecule: signal recognition particle RNA, 97 nt
Filed under: Pseudomonadales bacterium
Lineage: Bacteria; Pseudomonadati; Pseudomonadota; Gammaproteobacteria; Pseudomonadales
Also listed under: 1 other name
Description: signal recognition particle sRNA small type
Rfam family: Bacterial small signal recognition particle RNA
About the family: The signal recognition particle (SRP) is a universally conserved ribonucleoprotein involved in the co-translational targeting of proteins to membranes. Archaeal SRP consists of a 7S RNA and homologues of the eukaryotic SRP19 and SRP54 proteins. In most bacteria, the SRP consists of a 4.5S RNA and the Ffh protein (a homologue of the eukaryotic SRP54 protein).
Source: RNAcentral
UGUUGGUCCCCGCGCAAUGUUAGGCUAUGAACUCCGCCAGGCCCGGAAGGGAGCAACGGUAGUAGCUGAUUCAUGUGUUGCGGAGUGGCUGGCAAGA